UUUCCUAAGAGUAAUGUCAAAGCAGAGAAAUGGUGCGCUGUCCCUUUAACUAGUACGAGCGUCGCAGGGUCAUGUGGUCUGCUUCCUCCUUGAAAGGAGCAGAGAGAUUUUCCGCCCUAGUCACGAAAAUUGAUCCGGUGUGCGGCCACUGAGUUUUUACCUACUGCUGCUACCGCAUUCAUUGAUGUUUCAAAGCAAAAAGCAAAAUAAAGAAACAAACGGGAAAAUU
Long non-coding RNA from Engraulis encrasicolus (European anchovy), 229 nucleotides. RefSeq lists it as uncharacterized. The record is from RefSeq and is a predicted model, not a curated record. NCBI's taxonomy places the organism in Eukaryota, Metazoa, Chordata, Actinopteri, Clupeiformes, Engraulidae. The transcript has 2 exons.